GGCACGAUGGCCGAGCGGUCUAAAGCGCCAGACUGGAGAUCUGGUCCUCGCGGGCGUGGGUUCGAAUCAUAUAGAGCUU
This is a non-coding RNA of Trametes punicea, 79 nucleotides long. Lineage: Eukaryota; Fungi; Basidiomycota; Agaricomycetes; Polyporales; Polyporaceae. The record is from the annotation of a GenBank genome assembly.